CCUACGGGUGGCAGCAGUCGAGAAUCAUUCACAAUGGGGGAAACCCUGAUGGUGCGACGCCGCGUGGGGGAAUGAAGGUCUUCGGAUUGUAAACCCCUGUCAUGUGGGAGCAAAUUAAAAAGAUAGUACCACAAGAGGAAGAGACGGCUAACUCUGUGCCAGCAGCCGCGGUAAUACAGAGGGCUCAAGCGGUGUUCGGGAUCACUGGGCGUAAAGCGUGCGUAGGCAGUUUCGUAAGUCGUGUGUGAAAGGCGCGGGCUCAACCCGCGGCGAGCACAUGAUACGGGGAGACUAGAGUAAUGGAGGGGUAUCCGGAAUGCGCGGUGUAGCAGUGAAAUGCGUAGAUAUCGAGAAGAACACUCGUGGCGAAGGCAGGUUCCUGGACAUUAACUGACGCUGAGGCACGAAGGCCAGGGGAGCGAAAGGGAUUAGAUACCCCAGUAGUC
Molecule: ribosomal RNA, 446 nt
Filed under: uncultured bacterium
Lineage: Bacteria
Description: partial 16S ribosomal RNA
Rfam family: Bacterial small subunit ribosomal RNA
Source: RNAcentral